ACUCAUACCAUGCAGGGGAAAUACCAUGGUCAUGAAAGUGGCUUUGCCAGGGUAAAGCUCAUCCAUUGCACUUCAGGUGUGCUGAGCCCUAUGAUUUUCCCAAACAUGGGGAACUCAACUGCAUAAUUUGUGUUAAUGGGGGAUUGCAUUUGUGUUUUCCCUGG
RNAcentral lists this small nuclear RNA (164 nucleotides) under Pogona vitticeps (central bearded dragon). RNAcentral describes it as "U1 spliceosomal RNA (ENSPVIG00000005436.1)". It matches the Rfam family "U1 spliceosomal RNA". Rfam says of the family: U1 is a small nuclear RNA (snRNA) component of the spliceosome (involved in pre-mRNA splicing). The record is from Rfam by way of RNAcentral. Lineage: Eukaryota; Metazoa; Chordata; Lepidosauria; Squamata; Agamidae.